Non-coding RNA from Podarcis lilfordi (Lilford's wall lizard), 69 nucleotides. Lineage: Eukaryota; Metazoa; Chordata; Lepidosauria; Squamata; Lacertidae. The record is from the annotation of a GenBank genome assembly.
GCCGUAGCUCAGUGGCAGAGCACCUGCUUUGCAUGCAGAAGGUUCCAGGUUCAAUCCCCGGCAUCUCCA